Molecule: ribosomal RNA, 1521 nt
Filed under: Laribacter hongkongensis
Lineage: Bacteria; Pseudomonadati; Pseudomonadota; Betaproteobacteria; Neisseriales; Aquaspirillaceae
Description: partial 23S ribosomal RNA
Rfam family: Bacterial large subunit ribosomal RNA
Source: RNAcentral
GAUCAAGCGACUAAGUGCAUCUGGUGGAUGCCUUGGCGAUCAUAGGCGAUGAAGGACGUGUAAGCCUGCGAAAAGCGCGGGGGAGCUGGCAAUAGAGCAUUGAUCCCGCGAUGUCCGAAUGGGGAAACCCACCUCUUUUGAGGUAUCCCUGGCUGAAUCCAUAGGCCAGCGGAGGCGAACCCGGCGAACUGAAACAUCUAAGUAGCCGGAGGAAAAGAAAUCAACCGAGAUUCCGCAAGUAGUGGCGAGCGAACGCGGAAGAGCCUGUACGUGAUAGCAGUCGUGUUAGAAGAACGGUCUGGAAAGGCCGGCCAUAGUGGGUGAUAGCCCCGUAUUCGAAAACACAAUUGUGGUACUGAGCGUACGAGAAGUAGGGCGGGACACGUGAAAUCCUGUCUGAAGAUGGGGGGACCAUCCUCCAAGGCUAAAUACUCAUGAUCGACCGAUAGUGAACCAGUACCGUGAGGGAAAGGCGAAAAGAACCCCGGGAGGGGAGUGAAACAGAACCUGAAACCGGAUGCAUACAAACAGUGGGAGCCUGGAAACGGGUGACUGCGUACCUUUUGUAUAAUGGGUCAGCGACUUACAUUCAGUAGCGAGCUUAACCAGAUAGGGGAGGCGUAGCGAAAGCGAGUCCGAACAGGGCGUUGAGUUGCUGGGUGUAGACCCGAAACCGGAUGAUCUAUCCAUGGCCAGGAUGAAGGUGCGGUAACACGCACUGGAGGUCCGAACCCACGUCUGUUGCAAAAGACGGGGAUGAGCUGUGGAUAGGGGUGAAAGGCUAAACAAAUCCGGAAAUAGCUGGUUCUCUCCGAAAACUAUUUAGGUAGUGCCUCGAGAUUACACUGACGGGGGUAGAGCACUGUUAUGGCUAGGGGGUCAUUGCGAUUUACCAACCCAUGGCAAACUCCGAAUACCGUCAAGUGCGUCCUCGGGAGACAGACAGCGGGUGCUAACGUCCGUUGUCAAGAGGGAAACAACCCAGACCGCCAGCUAAGGUCCCAAAUGACAUGCUAAGUGGUAAACGAAGUGGGAAGGCCAAGACAGCCAGGAUGUUGGCUUAGAAGCAGCCAUCAUUCAAAGAAAGCGUAAUAGCUCACUGGUCGAGUCGUCCUGCGCGGAAGAUGUAACGGGGCUCAAGCAUGUAACCGAAGCUGCGGAUGCGUACUUGUACGCAUGGUAGGAGAGCGUUCUGUAGGCCUGCGAAGGUGGUGGUGUAAACCCUGCUGGAGGUAUCAGAAGUGCGAAUGCUGACAUGAGUAGCGAUAAAGCGGGUGAAAGUCCCGCUCGCCGAAAACCCAAGGUUUCCUACGCAACGUUCAUCGGCGUAGGGUGAGUCGGCCCCUAAGGCGAGGCAGAAAUGCGUAGUCGAUGGGAAACGGGUCAAGAUUCCCGUACCGGUUGUGAAUGCGAUGGGGGGACGGAGAAGGGUAGCUCAGCGGCCUGUUGGAAUAGGUCGUUUAAGCGUGUAGGAGUGGUCUCCUGGCAAAUCCGGAGAUCUUAUCUGAGGCGUGAUGACGA